GACGAACGCUGGCGGCGUGCUUAACACAUGCAAGUCGAACGGAAAGGCCCUGCUUGCAGGGUACUCGAGUGGCGAACGGGUGAGUAACACGUGGGUGAUCUGCCCUGCACUUCGGGAUAAGCCUGGGAAACUGGGUCUAAUACAGGAUAUGAGCCAUUUUGAGUGUGAUGGUUGGAAAGUUUUUUCGGUGUAGGAUGAGCUCGCGGCCUAUCAGCUUGUUGGUGGGGUAAUGGCCUACCAAGGCGGCGACGGGUAGGCGGCCUGGGAGGGUGGACGGCCACAUUGGGACUGAGAUACGGCCCAGACUCCUACGGGGGGCAGCAGUGGGGAAUAUUGCACAAUGGGCGCAAGCCUGAUGCAGCGACGCCGCGGGGGGGAUGACGGCCUUCGGGUUGUAAACUCCUUUCGCUAGGGACGAAGCUGUUUGUGACGGUACCUAGAUAAGAAGCACCGGCUAACUACGUG
RNAcentral lists this ribosomal RNA (465 nucleotides) under uncultured bacterium. Its description in RNAcentral is "partial 16S ribosomal RNA". It matches the Rfam family "Bacterial small subunit ribosomal RNA", at positions 28 to 507 of the family's 1533-position model. The record is from RNAcentral.